UACGAGGGGUGCAAGCGUUAAUCGGAAUUACUGGGCGUAAAGCGUGCGUAGGUGGUUUGUUAAGCAAGAUGUGAAAGCCCCGGGCUCAACCUGGGAACUGCAUUUUGAACUGGCAAACUAGAGUAUUGUAGAGGGUAGUGGAAUUUCCAGUGUAGCGGUGAAAUGCGUAGAGAUUGGAAGGAACAUCAGUGGCGAAGGCGGCUACCUGGACAAAUACUGACACUGAGGCACGAAAGCGUGGGGAGCAAACAGGAUUAGAAACCCGGUAGUCC
Molecule: ribosomal RNA, 272 nt
Filed under: uncultured prokaryote
Description: partial 16S ribosomal RNA
Rfam family: Bacterial small subunit ribosomal RNA
Source: RNAcentral